UACGGAAGGCAGCAGUGGGGAAUAUUGCACAAUGGGCGAAAGCCUGAUGCAGCUAUGCCGCGUGUAUGAAGAAGGCCUUAGGGUUGUAAAGUACUUUCAUCGGGGAGGAAAAAACAAAACUAAUAAUUUUAUUUCUUGACGUUACCCGAAAAAGAAGCACCGGCUAACUCCGUGCCAGCAGCCGCGGUAAUACGGAGGGUGCUAGCGUUAAUCAGAAUUACUGGGCGUAAAGAGCACGUAGGUGGUUUUUUUAAAGUCAGAUGUGAAAUCCCUGGGCUUAACCUAGGAACUGCAUUUUGAAACUGAAAUACUAGAGUAUCGUAGAGGGAGGUAGAAUUCUAGGUGUAGCGGUGAAAUGCGUAGAUAUCUGGAGGAAUACCUGUGGCGAAAGCGGCCUCCUAAACGAAUACUGACACUGAGGUGCGAAAGCGUGGGGAGCAGGACAGGGAUUAGAUACC
This 458-nucleotide ribosomal RNA is filed under the name uncultured bacterium. RNAcentral's name for it is "bacterial SSU rRNA". It matches the Rfam family "Bacterial small subunit ribosomal RNA", at positions 340 to 786 of the family's 1533-position model. The record is from RNAcentral.